RNAcentral lists this non-coding RNA (217 nucleotides) under Priestia koreensis. RNAcentral describes it as "Bacillus koreensis T-box sequence". It matches the Rfam family "T-box leader". Rfam says of the family: Uncharged tRNA acts as the effector for transcription antitermination of genes in the T-box leader family. The record is from RNAcentral. Lineage: Bacteria; Bacillati; Bacillota; Bacilli; Caryophanales; Bacillaceae.
UAAAAAGCGAUGAAAAGGGCAUUAGUAAUAUGACUCUCCCUGUUUUCCAGAGAGCUGAUGGUUGGUGAGAAUCAGCACAAAGAGCAUAUGAAUUACAUUCUUGGAGCUUUCUUUUUCGGAUUAUUUCGAAAAGACGGAGAACUUCCGUUAUCUUAAUGAAGAGGUAAGCAGCAAUGCUUGCAACUAGGGUGGUACCGCGAAUUUAUUCGUCCCUACU